RNAcentral lists this ribosomal RNA (404 nucleotides) under uncultured bacterium. RNAcentral's name for it is "partial 16S ribosomal RNA". It matches the Rfam family "Bacterial small subunit ribosomal RNA", at positions 28 to 526 of the family's 1533-position model. The record is from RNAcentral.
GACGAACGCUGGCGGCGUGCCUAAUACAUGCAAGUCGAACGCAGUGGGGACGGGUGAGUAACACGUGGUUAACCUCCCCAUCAGAGGGGAUAACACUUGGAAACAGGUCCUAAACCGAUACUGAUGGAUGGACCCCGGGUGCAUUGGCUAGUUGGUGGGGUAACGGCUCACCAAGGCCACGAUGCAUAGCCGACCUGAGAGGGUGAUCGGCCACAAUGGGACGGAGACACGGCCCAGACUCCUACGGGGGGCAGCAGUAGGGAAUCUUCGGCAAUGGACGAAAGUCUGACCGAGCCACGCCGCGUGAGUGAAGAAGGUUUUCGGAUCGUAAACCUCUGUGGUUAGAGAAGCGGUAUCUAACCAGAAAGCCACGGCUAACUACGUGCCAGCAGCCGCGGUAAUAC